This 253-nucleotide ribosomal RNA is filed under the name uncultured bacterium. RNAcentral describes it as "partial 16S ribosomal RNA". It matches the Rfam family "Bacterial small subunit ribosomal RNA", at positions 524 to 776 of the family's 1533-position model. The record is from RNAcentral.
UACGUAGGGGGCAAGCGUUGUCCGGAUUCAUUGGGCGUAAAGAGCGUGUAGGCGGCCAGGUAGGUCGGUUGUGAAAACUGGAGGCUCAACCUUCAGAGGUCGACCGAAACCAUCUGGCUAGAGUCCGGGAGAGGAGAGUGGAAUUCCUGGUGUAGCGGUGAAAUGCGCAGAUAUCAGGAAGAACACCCGUGGCGAAGGCGGGUCUCUGGACGGCAACUGACGCUGAGGCACGAAAGCGUGGGGAGCAAACAGG